UAGAUUCGAACAAGGUCGGAACUUGCCGAUGUGUAACGAUUCAGGCGGAAGUCUGGACUUACUUGUAAAGGAGUUGCCGUCGCAUUAUAAAAAUGCAUAUUUCAUGCUUACCAUCACCAUUUCUUCAGAAGUCGUCAACCUACAAGCAUCAUGAAAAUCUCAGCUCUUGCCUUUUUCGCCCUUGUCGGAGUUAUCGGUGUUGCCCUCGGUGCCGGGUACGGAUACGGCGGUUAUUCUGGCGGGUACACCUACAUGCCAGUAUCUGGUUACGGUCAGCAAGGGGCCGGCGGAUUAGGAGAUGGUUCUUUCUUGAUGCUGAUCGGAUUCUUGUUCCUGAUCUUGAUCUUGUUCAACAGCAACCUGUUUAACACCACCUCAACAGCUACGACCACACCCAUCACCAUCCUCCAGGGUUAAAUAUGAUUUAGAGAAAGGCCAACUACAGCUAUUUACACCUUUGUUGGAUCCUAUAUCUUGUACAUGGAGAAAUUACUCAUUCUGUAAUUUGAUUGGUCAAAAAGUCAUGUAUUCUGUGAUAUCUAAAUUAUUAUUGCACUCAACAGAUAUGUUUUAUAUCAUAAACAUAAAAAUAAUAAUAAACUUAUGAAAUAUAA
Ruditapes philippinarum (Manila clam) is the source of this 614-nucleotide long non-coding RNA. RefSeq lists it as uncharacterized. The record is from RefSeq and is a predicted model, not a curated record. The transcript has 4 exons. Lineage: Eukaryota; Metazoa; Mollusca; Bivalvia; Venerida; Veneridae.